AUCCUCCCCAGCUCUCAUAACCCAAGCCAUUUGUGUGUUUCCUUCCCUUUUCUGUGACCGACCGCAGGGCCAAAAUACAUGGAACCCUUUUCGGCUGUUAACCCCAGCGCGGUUGGUCUUUUUAGUACCUCCAGGAAUUUCCCGAACCCCUGGUGAUCUGGGUGAUUUUUGGAUAUGUGUCUCACCCAGAUCAGGGCUACCAGGGGAUGUAAUAUUUAAAGGGGUACUCCUAGGUUUAGGGGUACAUCCAGAAAACAAGGGGAACUGUGUCCUGCACAAUGGGAUUAUGUGUCACACUAAGGGGAGGUGAUGUGUGGGUGGCAACUCGUGUAUGAUUGGUGUAUUGUAUAAUUACUGUGAAUCUCUCCCUUGCAUGGGAGAAUGCUUUAAAAGAAGGUUGUGUGAUUAAAAGUUCAGUUCUGCUCCUGAUGCUGUGUGUCGUCCAGUCAUUGGGAUUGAUGUUGGGAUAUUGUUAGAUUGUCUUGCUUGCUGGAAUUAUUGCCUUAUGGAUUUUUAAUACUUGUUCCUGAGCCUCACUGGGAUCUUAAGUGGAGAUAACCUGUGGAAUAUCAGCUCUCUGCUACAUUGGUUGGCAGCGCCGGGAUCCAGACUCACAAAGGAACAAGGAUUAAUGGAGAUUGAUUACUCCACAUUAAAACGAUCCACACUGAAAGAUCUUCUGGAAGCAAGAGGCAUCCCAGCCAGCAAUAAAACAAAGGCAACACUCAUCUCUGAAGUAAUGGCCGAAUACCGAACAGAGGAUGAUUCAGUCACCGAACAGAGGGAUGAGACAGAUGGAACAGAGCAAGCAGCGUUUCAAAGGCAGCUCCAAUUCAGACUGUCCUUUAAUGGGGAGAAUCCACCGAUAGAGAUAAUCUCCAAGACAAUGAUCGAGGUCCAGGAGUUUAUAAUGCGGCAAAGAAGGCCACAAACACCGGAUAGAAGCCCAGCAGUGUCUAUGGUGCAAGAGGGUAAGCCGAAAAUCCCAUACCAGGCGUUUAAAAUGUAUGUAGAAGCAGAGGAAGAUAUAGAUGCAUUCCUCCAGAACUUUGAGAGACUGUGUAUGCUGCAUAAAAUAAAUAUGGAAGACUGGGUCCCCAUCUUAGCAGGACGAUUAACGGGGAGAGCCGCUGAAGCAUACCGUACUAUACCAGAUCUGGAGAUUAGAAAUUACAGCCGGGUAAAAGAAGUAAUUCUGGCCCGGUAUGCUUCUGGUGUAAUAGGCGCUUCAGGGAAUUGAAAAAAGUGGAAAAAGACUCGCAUGCAGAAUGGGCUUGCCGAUUACAAAGGGCAGCUCUCGGAUGGGUACAUGCGAACCAGGCACGGUCCAUGGAGGACCUAUUACAAAUGCUGCUGCCAGAACAGUUUUAUGACGGGGUACCCAGGAGUGCCCAGGAGUGGAUGAGAGACCGUAACCCCAUGUCUAUCACAGAAGCGGCUAAAAAGGCAGAUGAUUAUAUGGAUGCCCGCAGGCAGCACAAGCUUGUGGGUGUUAACCCAGCUGUGCGACCCCUAGACAGAAACAGCUUUUCCGCUGGCACAAACGCACCACCAGCUCCUAUCGCUACUCAACCGAGGUUUCGCCAACCCUCCUCGGUGCAAUGCCACCAGUGCCAGAGGUGGGGACACUACAAGCGGGACGGCCCGCAGCUGCGAGACCCAUCCACAUUGAUCCGACCAGGUCCACCCCCACCACCGAGAGCAGCAGCACAACACUACCAGGACGAGACACCCGCCGCUUAUGGCUCUGCAGUUCCCGUCACUACCAUAGAACAGUGGGAAGUACUACAUGAAGACAACCCGCUACAAGCAAAUCGUCAGCAUCUCAGGCAAACAGUCUACCUGGAGGGAAAUGCGGUGCAGGGACUCCGAGAUUCAGGGCCACCGUAAGCUUGGUCCAAAGCCACUUGGUCUCGGACAAAGCCAAAACAAGCAGGACUGUGGCCGUCAGGGUUGCCGGGGGAGCCGUAUACCGGCUGAAUACAGCAAGAGUUCAUUUGCAUUGCGGUGCGGGGUCGGGAAAUGUGGAAGUGGGGUUGAUGCCACAACUACCCGCAGAGGUGGUACUAGGAAAUGACCUGGGAAAGCUCACUUCUGCUUUUGAGCCCCAAACCACAACCACUGAGGAAGCGCAUCCAGUGGUCACCAGGCAACAGGCCUGCACUCAGGACUGCAACACACUGUCGGAGGUUCAGGUAAGAGAACCUUCCCCUUCCCUAGACUGUGUUCCUUGGGCCCCUCCUAACGAAUUUGCGGCAGAGGUGAUCACUGAUCCUACCCUACAGGUAAAUAGAAACAAAGUCACCUCUGACCAACCUGGGGCAGAGGGGGAAAGAUUUGUAUGGUAUAGGUAGUUGUUAUACAGAGAGUCAGACAAGCAGCUAGCUGGGUCAGAUCAGAUUGUUCUAAGACAGUUAGUCGUACCACAGAGGUACCGGGCCGAAUUGCUCCUGAUAGCUCCUGAUAUUCCGCUAUCCGGGCAUUUGGGGGUUAGUCGUGCCCGAUACCGACUGACCAAGAGUUUCUUUUGGCCAGGAAUUAGCCAGGAAGUAUGUAAAUAUUGCAGUACCUGCGAUACGUGCCAGAGGGUAGGGAAGAGGGGGGACCGGCGGAAGGCAAAGUUGCAUCCGCUACCUAUAAUUGAGGAACCGUUUUAUAGAAUAGCAGUAGAUAUCAUAGGCCCCCUUCGGAAACCUAGCCCUUCUGGCAAGAAGUAUAUUUUGAUGGUGGUGGAUUACGCCACCCGCUACCCGGAGGCGGUGGCCUUGACAAAUAUCCAUGCAGAAACCGUAGCUGAGGCCCUGAUGCAAAUUUUCUCCCGGAUGGGGUUACCCAGGGAGAUCAUUUCGGAUGAGGGUACUCAGUUCACUGCAGAGGUCACCCAGCAUCUCUGGAAAUUCUCUGACGUUAAACCUAUAAUCAGCGCCCCCUACCAUCCCCAGACUAAUGGGCUCUGCGAACGGUUCAAUGGUACAUUAAAACAAAUGCUCCGAACCUUUGCUGAGACCCACCGGGACUGGGAGCGAUUCCUGCCACACCUCCUCUUCGCUUUCCGGGAGGUGUCGCAGGAAUCCACCGGGUUUUCCCCAUUCGAACCUAAUUAGGGAGCAGACGGUACCCCAAUUGUACCAUAUGUGUUGGCACUCCAAGACCGCCUAGAAGCGCUAACCAGGGCGGUAAUGGAAAACCUUCAGGCGGCUCAGACGCACCAACGUACCUGAUAUGAUCGAGGCGCCAGGGGCCGUAGCUUCCAGGUAGGGCAGAAAGUUUUAAUUUUAAAACCUGUCCGACAUGAUAAGCUACAGGCCGCCUGGCAAGUCCUUAUAGAGUGGUGGAACAGAGAUGUGACACCACUUAUAUAAUUGGCCCCUGCGCAGGGACUGGACGGCGACGCAUGCUCCAUGUGAACAUGAUGAAGCCCUACCAGGAACGCUCAGAAGAGGUGACCGCUAUUGACAGCCUUCCCCUCCCAGAUCUACUGGGAGAUGGUUAGAUGUCUGGGGAUUUAGGAAAAGUUGUGCUGGGAGACCGGCUGAGCCCACAGGAACGUACCGAGGUUCAACAGCUGCUAAGAGAAAAGCAGGAUACCUUCUCUAAUGUGCCUGGGUGCACUCCUCUAGCCCCUCACCGGGUAUAAACCCCAGGCCAACUCCCCAUGCGCCAGACCCCGUCCCGCAUCCCUUAAGUGGUGCAGGAGAACAUAUGCAAGGAGAUCGAUGAGAUGCUCCAACUGGGGGUGAUUGAGCCCUCAGACAGCCCCUGGGCUUCUCCUGUAGUCCUCGUACCAAAGCGAGACGGUACGACCCGCUUCUCCGUGGACUACCGGAGGUUGAACAAAAAGACAGUAUCAGACGCGUAUCCUAUGCCAGGAUAGAUGACUGCUAGACCGGAUGGCCAGAGGCCAAUACCUCACUUCUAUUGAUCUAUGUAAGGGGUAUUGACCGAUUCCCUUGUCUCCGGACACCAUCCCAAGUCAGCCUUUGUCACCCCAUUCGGCCUGUACCACUUUAAAGUCAUGCCGUUUGGGAUGAAAAACGCUCCGGCUACCUUCUAGAUGGGUUCCAGGAGUACACCGACUCCUAGAUGGGUUCCAGGACUGUAGCGGAGCAGUAGUAUUAUCCACGGUAUCUCCGCUGGUAGACAGAAUCAAGCAGGCACAAAGCAGGUAAAAUCCAGGUAGCGUAGUUACAAUCCCUUAUUCCCAAGAACUAGACGACACAUAGCUUGGAGGUCAACUGAGGUUUUAUUUUCAGGUCACGGUAUUUAUGGGAUUCCCCAUGCAAGGGGUUUCCUUACUGACAUUUCAGGGGUUGUAAAGUAGGGGACUACAUGGGGAACUGACCAACCCACACAUUUUUCCCAUCAUGCACUGCUGGACGUGAGGGAUACUCCCACUGGAAUAUACUGUUAAUGGGAUUAUCCCACUGUGCAGCAGAACUCACAUUUUACAUUAAAAUACAUAACUUUAACAAUAUUCACUAGUUUUACACGAAUGGACGUUCGGUAGAUAGCUGGAGGCUGAGCGCAUCGUUCGUGAGAAUACCGCUCAGCUCCCAGUCUACGAAAUACAUAUAAUUUCUAACGUUUUAAAAUACUGAUUAUCGUAAGGGGAAUAAACUACCGAACGGCCGAGGUUCCCGAACGGCCUGGAAGUUCAGCGGUGUUCGCGCCGUCGAGUAGCCGUUUUUAGUUCCAGGCGCUCGAUGACAAAACACCGUUGGGCUAACAAAAGAAACAAGAUGGCCGACCGCCGCGUGAUCCGUAUUCGAACGACGGCCACCUAGAAACACACUUAAUUACCGAUUGCAACAUUGUUGCAAUCGGUUAAUGGGUGCCACACAACCCCCUGUGUGUGGCUCUGCGUUCGGUAUGUUAUUCGUUUCACGAACAGUGUUUAACUCACUGUUCGUGAAACUUCAUUAGGAAUGCUGGGGUUUUCAUACCGCCAGCAUACGAAUGCCCUCAUUCGCCUGAAAUACAAAUAUCAUUGAUUUUUAUGGCUUAGCAACAAUACACACAUCCUUAUACAUUAAUAGUCUCUGGUGGCUAGUUUUGCCACAAGGACUACACCUGUGCAUAUCUGGACGAUAUUGCCAUUUUUAGCAAUACCUGGCAGGAGCACUUGGCCCAUAUUGGAACGGUUCUAGACAGGUUAGGGAGGCCGGUCUGAUGUUGAAACCAGCCAAAUGCAGUAUAGGAAUGGGCUGUGGGAAACAGAAACCAGAACCAGCCAAAGUAGAGGCCGUAGCCCAAUGGCCCAACCCUGGGACUAAGACUCAGGUGCUUGCAUUUCUCGGGACAGGGGGAUACUAUAGGAAGUUUGUCCCCAUAUAGCACCCUGGUCAAAUCCCUUACUGACCUGACCAGUAAGAACCUUCCCCGCCAAGUAACCUGGACCCCGGAGUGUGAGCAGGCAUUUCAACAUCUGAAAAAUGCACUUAUCAAUGCCCCUGUCUUGGCCGCUCCCAAUCCAGCUAAACGUUUUCUUGUUCACACAGACGCUUCUAUGUCCCGACUUGGGGCAGUGCUGAGCCAAGUCGGGGCCGAUGGCGGAGAACAUCCCGUGGCUUACAUCAGUCGCAAGUUGUUACCCAGAGAAGUAAGCUAUGCCGCCAUCGAGAAGGAAUGCCUGGCUGUGGUGUGGGCCCUAAAGAAGUUGCAGCUGUAUUUGUAUGGACAGCCAUGAAUCACAACCCAUUGGUAUGGCUGAACCGGGUGGCUGGGGACAAUGCCAGGCUGCUGCGCUGGAGUUUGGCCCUACAGCCCUUUGACUUUAACAUUCAGUACCGCCCGGGCAAACAAAAUGGAAACGCUGACGGGUUGUCUAGACAAACAGACUUGGAGAAAUGAUCCGUGAGCACCCCGGACACCCCCAAGCCGAUCCGUGCUGGAUCAGACUGUGUAUGCCGGCUUGUGGGCAAGGGGGAGCAGUGUAGCGGAUGGCAUUGGGCUGUCCUCAAAAUUAUGUAUAUUCCUAUGUGUUUGGUUAAAUUGUGCCAUGUGUAUGUGAAGUGUAAGCAGCAUUCGUUUGAUUGUUCGGUAAAAUCACUCCAGUUAUUAUGCGAGUGAAACUACCGAACAAUCAGGCCACCCUAGGAGUAAGUGUGCAUUCAAUUACUGUUCACAACAAUGUUGCAAAUGGGUAAUUGGCAAUUCAUGUAGUGUGUUCUUUGUCCUCUGGGUGGCUGCCAUUCGGGAGACGAACACGUGGCGGUGGCCAUUUUAAACUCCCGAACAGCAGUGUUUUGCCGUCAAGUGUCUGGAGCCCAAAUCGGACACUCGGUUAGCCAAACACCGCUGAGACCUCCACACUGCCGCCAAUUAGUGUAAAAACUACCGAACGGCUUCCUGUUCAGUAGAAAGAACCCCGCGAACAAGGGGAUUUACCCGAAUCCUCCCCAGCUCUCAUAACCCAAGCCAUUUGUGUGUUUCCUUCCCUUUUCUGUGACCGACCGCAGGGCCAAAAUACAUGGAACCCUUUUCGGCUGUUAACCCCAGCGCGGUUGGUCUUUUUAGUACUUCCAGGAAUUUCCCGAACCCCUGGUCCGAUCUGGGUGAUUUUUGGAUAUGUGUCUCACCCAGAUCAGGGCUACCAGGGAAUGUAAUAUUUAAAUGGGUUCUCCUAGGUUUAGGGGUACAUCCAGAAAACAAGGGGAACUGUGUCCUGCAUAAUGGGAUUAUGUGUCACACUAAG
Molecule: non-coding RNA, 6694 nt
Organism: Pelobates cultripes (western spadefoot toad)
Lineage: Eukaryota; Metazoa; Chordata; Amphibia; Anura; Pelobatidae
Source: the annotation of a GenBank genome assembly